RNAcentral lists this unclassified non-coding RNA (217 nucleotides) under uncultured Odontia. Its description in RNAcentral is "sequence contains ITS2". Lineage: Eukaryota; Fungi; Basidiomycota. The record is from RNAcentral.
AAUUCUCAACUCCCCUAGGAUUCCAUCUGUAGGGUGAGCUUGGACUUGGAGGUUUCUGCUGGCGUUCGCCGGCUCCUCUUGAAAUCAUUAGCUUUGAGUUGAUCUCGAUGGCUCGACCGGUGUGAUAAACAUCUACGCCGAUUUGUGCUGUCCUGAGCGACGACGUCGGAGACGCUCUGGCUUAUAACCGUCUUCACCAGAGGACGACUCCCUGAAC